UAAAAUUUGUACUAAAAUUUUAUAUAAAAAUUAUUGUCAACAUUUCAUGCAUCCAACUUUAACUUGCAGCCUUCAGAGUACAGUCAGUGUGAUGUUUUGCCCAGAGACUGCUGUUAUCCCAAAUGAGAAGGAAUGUGUGGUACUAUUAGAAAUGAAUACAUCAAGCUAUAGUCAAACACCAGGAGAUAAAUGGAGAUAUAAAGACAGCACAAGCAAGGGGAGAAGCAGAGGCAGAGUAACAAGCAGACUUCAGAGCCCCACAUGGUGCUCCAUCCCACAACCCUGAGAUCAUGAGCUGAAAUCAAGAGUUAGAAGCUUAACCUACUGAGCCACCCAGAUUUUGGACCAUGCAAAAUGGCUUAUUGGAGUUGAGAUCAGCAUGCAUUCUACUGAAGCUUACUGGGUUUGAAGCAUCAGCUAUCCAAGAUCUCUCUCAUGGAACAUCAGCUGUAGGCCCUAUAUUUUCAUAUUCCCAACAGUUGGUGUAGUCAUGGGGAAUCACAGAUAACUAAGCUGGAAGAGAUUUUUAAAAAUCAUUUGGUUCCAACCAUUUGUGCUAUAUUCCAAUGUAACUCUUCCCAACUGCCAUUAAACCACACUUCUAAAUUCUCCUGUUUUGUUGAUCUUUCCAGUGAAAUAGUUCUUGCAUAUUGCCAACCUAUUGGUAAAUUUUCAUCUUUAUCCUACUCCAUUUCUCAGCAGCAUUAGACACAAUAAACCAUGAUAGCUUUCUUGAACCACUGUCUUGACUUCGCUGCCAUGACACUUUUCAGUGGCUACUGCUUCUCAUCUUACUUUUCUGGUUCCUUCUUUUACACCUGAUUUCUAAACAUCCUCUGUGCCCCAGGGAUCAGACUUAAGCCCUUUUCUCUUUUUUCUAUAGAUAAUUUCAUCUAGUCCUGUGGCUCUAAAUGCCCUCUAGAUUCUGUUGACUCUCAAAUUUAUAUCUUUAUUGCUGAAUAUCCAGGAACUCCAGAUCAUGUGGUAUGUCCAUUUCCAUGAAUCAAUCUAGACAGCUAAUAGGCAUCUGAAAUUUUACAUGUACAAAGAAACCAAUUGGUUCCCACAAUCCUUUCCCUUGCACUGUGAACUUACGUAGGCCACACAGACAGUGGCAACCCCAGAAUUCUUUAUUUUCCCUUAAAUCCCAUGUGAAAAUGCAUCAGCCAAACAUGUUAACAUUAUUAGCAAGACUAAUCCAAAAUUGUAGUGGAUUUAUUAUGUGGAAAUUACCCCCUAAGUAUAUCUCCAAAGAAAAGCCACAUGACCCUCUUUCUCUAGGCCAUGAGAAAUAAAUGGUGAGUGGCAUGCCAACAUCCUUCAGAAAUGAAUUGUGGAGAAUUUUUUUCUCUAAUGUAGCAAUACUCAUGGUCUUACUUGCUGAUAGAAAUGAAAAUAUCAACCAAAAAAUAUCAAAGCUACUAUAGAUUCACUAUGGAUUCAAGCUCAGCAAAAAUCAACAAAAUGGGGUUUUGUCAUGAGAGACACUACAGAUGAAAAGGACUCCCUCAGAAGUUAGGUGAAUUUUGGAGAAUAUUAAUAGAUUACCACAAGGUAGUGAACUGUUGGUCCAAUCAUGCUUUUCUCACUGAAGAUUUUAUUUCUACCUCUGGUGAAUGGUAAGCAGAUAUUAACCUUAAAAAUGACAUUUUGUCUUGCCCAACAUAGUUGAAAACUCCAGAAAUUUGAUUACACUGAGCAGGGAUAGUAAUACAAAUUCAUAGUAUUGUCUCAAGGAUUUAUGCCAAAUAGAGCCACAGCCUGCGGAAUCUUGAUUAUCUUAUCAUGCUAUAGGUUAUCACUCACCUACUGAUGUCAUUAAGCUGACAAGACUUAGAAGGCCAGUUUGCUAGUGCCUCCAAAGCCCACAUAGGACAAGUAUGUACCCAGUGAAGGGUGGGAAAUUCAAGGAAAUACAAACUCCUGAAACCUCACUGAAGCUUUUGGGGGAUCAAUGAGUAGAGUAGUUGUCAACACCAGGGGAUAAGUCACUUCAUCAUAGAUCACUUACUUUAAGAAAGACACACAAUGCUUAUUAGACUACUUGCUAUUUUGAUGAUGGAGUAUAGCUUUGUGUAAUUCAAAAAGGCAAAAAUUCAGUAUAUAAAUAUAAAAGUGUGCAUUUAUCAAUAUUUUGAGGUAGAACAAAGGCUUUGUGCAAAAAAAUGGGCUUUGUUUUUCUUUGCUUAGAUUAUCAUUUUCUUAUUUAUAUCCAUAUUUAAACUUUUCUAAACUGGGUGAGAACUUAGAAACACGAGCAAAGCAAUUUAAGUGCAGAGAUCUUUACAGACAUAGAUUUCCCCCAGUUUUUAUUGUCUCAUACCUAAUUGAUCAUAAUUUUAAAAUACUUAAUUUUAUUAAGUAUUUCCAUACAUUUAAUUUAGUUUUUUUCUUUUAAAGAUUUUAUUUACUUAUUUGACACAGAGAGAGAUAGUAAGAGAUGAACUACAAAUUGUGGGGGGUGUGAUGUGUGAGGGAGAAAUAGGCUUCCCAGUGAGCAGAAAGCCUGAAGCUGGGCUGAAUCCCAGGACCCUAGGAUCAUGACCUGAGCUGAAGACAGAUGCUUAAGGUGCUCCCAUUUAACUUAGUUUUUAAAGAAUCAACUUUCUUUUCACAUUCAUAUUUCACUUAGUUUAUAUAAUAAUUAAUUAACAAGCAAUUACCGGUAGAAGCACUAUAUACACAAAUAGGUAUCAGAAUAAGUACAAUGGAAUUUCGGCAAGCAUAUAACAACUCAAUUAGUGGACAUAAAAGAGUGUAUAUAAAAGCAUUUGUUCAUUUUGCAAACAGGUAAAAGUUAAGUGAAGAUAGGUUAACCAAGACCAAGAGAAGAGAAGUGUGUAAGCAGCUUUACUGCUUAGCCCUUAUGGUCCAAUAGAUUCAAUGGUGCUGAAAUUGUUUGUGGCAGAUUGGAAUACUCUAUGGCUCUUAAAGAACCCCAUAUUUUAGCGGUCCAACCAACUACGUAGUGGCAGGCACAUUGGACAGCUUCUCUCAUUCUCAUGAGAAUAGAUAUUUAUUUUGAAAUUUAAAAAACACCCAAAACAAACAGACUUACUAAUACCAAUGUGCAUAUAGGGAAAACAUUAAGUGUUGACCUAGGCUAUUUAAUAGACAAUAAGAUAUUGACACACAGUAGAAACAGAGAGGAGUAUGAACAAAACCCAACUGGUUCCCUGGGGAACCUCAUGGUAUUUGACCCAGUGAUAGAUGUAAGAAUAGAUAAGAUGGCUAGGAGAGUGUAAACCUGUAUUGGAUGUAUAAAGGUUUUACUUACUCUUUAACUUUGGUGGAAGCUAAAGUGGAGUAUAUAACCCUACCCCUCACUUUUUGGCAGCUAAACAUAGACUUCAGAUCUAGUUCAGCUAUAGCGUUGCUUUAGUUUCAGAUAUUUAACUUUGAUGCUGCUGGGGAGGAAAAAUUUUCUUGUACCCUUCAAAGAUUCUUCCAACUGGUGUGAGGAUUAAUUUGAAAGGAGACAAAAAAAAAAAAAAAAACCAGGAGAAAAUAAAAUUUAAUUUUCUAUAUACAGGAACCCCAUAUACCUGAGAGAUUCAAAGACAGAAAGGUAAAAUGAGGCAUAUGUGCCCAUCCUGAGUUAAGGAAUGUCAGAGGGCCCUGGGGACUCAAAGGGGAGGAGGUCAAUUCACAGGGCACUGUGAAUUCACAGGGCAUUGAAGAACAAAUAAUUUGGUAAUUAGCUGUUUGCUCAGCCAUACAUAUGGGCCACUCAGUUAAAAUAUCUCUAGUAAUAAUUCAUUCUGGGAAAGACACUCAGUUUAGAUUUUUCUAUAUAGUUAAGAGAAGGGCAAAAGUUUCUCUCAAGCCUACAGGGUCUCAGUUGCCUUCAGCUCAACAGUACACCUACUAUUGCAAAAAUAGCUUAUGGCAUACUUUUUUUUUUCUUUCUUUCUUAUUGAUUUUAAUUCAGCCUAGUAUUUAUUGAGCUACUACAGCUCAAAGUAGUCCACAUGCCGAAGUGGCACAUUUUGGGAAUACUUGCACUGAACCCAUUCAAGGUUAUGAGGUAAAGGCAGGGGCACUGGUUAGUGUUUAUUUUUGUGGUGAUGCUCAGCACUUGUGAGGCCAAUGGUAUGGCAGCAACGGUUCAAUCAUUGCUGCAGUCAGUAGCAGGAAGUCAGCAAGCAUCUAAUUGCCUUGCUCCUUGACCUCCCAUGGCCUUUACUUAUUUCUAAGCUUGCUCAUUUGCAUACCAGCUGAUUCUUUGGGCUUUCUGUAAAUCCUUUUAUAAAUUCCUCUUCUGAAAUAGUGGGCUAGAACUACAUUCUUUUGUUUGCAACUAAGAAUUCUGAUUUGGUAGUGUAUUUUAAACACACAAACAUAUUUCGCCUUUCACAACAGGCAUAGAUUUAGUACAUUUAUGUGGCAGGAAUGCCAACUAGGCUGAAACUGAAGACAAUUUAAGCAAGAAUAGAAUUGUAACUUUACUUGUGAUUUUCUUUCCUUUUUAAAUGAUAUUCGCCUAACCCAUUUGUAUGCUUGCACAACAACUACUCUAUACAUUAGCUACUAUUUUUACAAAUGUUUAGAAUUAAUAUUUACAAAGUUGGCCUGGAGUUUUUUCCUUUUCAAUAUUCUGCCAGAAUUAAAUAUAUUUUAACCUUAAGAAUAAAAGUACACCUACUAUUGCAAAAAUAGCUUAUGACAUACUUUUUUUUUGAACAUUGAAAAAUUUUUGUUUACACUUACAUUUCUUCUGAAAAUUAUCUUUAAAGUAUGGAAGAUUUUAUGUAUGUCACCCUUAUUUUUCCCCAUUUUAUUACCCUCUUAAGUUUACUUUUAUACUUUUUGCCAUAUGAUAUGAAAGUUUUAAGUCGCUAUUUUAGUGAACACAAUAAUCUUUUCUUGGUAUUUUUCUUCUUUAUUUUUGAUCCUGGGCCUUGAUUACACUGCCACUACCCUUUGUCCCUUAAUCACGGGGGAGUUAAUAACAGCUUCCUGCUGUUGCUACAUUAUGCAUUACCUUUUUGGGUUUUCAGCUAUACUAUCAUAGGAAAAAUCAAUUUUCUGUAUUAAACUUUCUUUGUUUAAAAUCUUUAGAUGGGGAGUCACUUUUAAUUAACUGGAAAACCUCUGGACUUUGUUUCUCUAAAUAGUAUAAGAAAUGAAUUUACCUUGGUCAUUUUUUUUUAGCAAUUUGACAAGUUGUUACAAAAAGAGUUGUUUAAACAUCCAAUGUUAUAUGAGAAUUACAAAUGCCUGUAAUUUGUUAUUACACUGAGUAAAUCUGUUUCUGUACUUACAACCUGUUCC
This 5274-nucleotide long non-coding RNA is filed under the name Mustela putorius furo (domestic ferret). RNAcentral's name for it is "lncRNA (ENSMPUG00000027807.1)". The record is from RNAcentral. Lineage: Eukaryota; Metazoa; Chordata; Mammalia; Carnivora; Mustelidae.